Molecule: unclassified non-coding RNA, 465 nt
Filed under: Hevea brasiliensis (rubber tree)
Lineage: Eukaryota; Viridiplantae; Streptophyta; Magnoliopsida; Malpighiales; Euphorbiaceae
Source: RNAcentral
UCUGUCGUAUCCACAAACUUCAAGAGUCUUCGGGUUUGUGCUGACAUUGGAGGUCCAUCAGGAUAAAGUGCAGAAUUUAUGUGAACUUCAGAUGGUCGUGGAGGUGGCUUUUGAGCCGAGGAAAAAUGAGAACUUAUAGUUGAGAUGAUUCCAGAUUUUUCAGUGAUAACAGGAGAACCAUCCCAUUCAGCUCUCUUUAUGACAGUGGCACCAAUGACUUUAGAAAACUGAAGGCGUAAAAAAAGAACAUUUCUCAGACCAGAUUCUCUAACUUCAAAUUGGGCCCCCGUGACAAUGGAGAGAUCAUCAGAUUCUAUGGGUGCGGUGCAUACAUGUGAAAAACUUUUCCAUUGGACUUUCUCAUGAUACCUUUGGUCAGAGGAGCUACUCGCAUAGCCAUAUGAUUCAUUUUGAAGCUGAAGGCUUUUUGGCAAGGAUGAAAGGUGCUGCAAAUGGAUUGCUAAG